GGAAGUGUGCCAGAGCGGUCGAAUGGGACUCACUGCUAAUGAGUUAUGGGUGUUAAAGUCCAUCGCAGGUUCGAAUCCUGUCACUUCCGCCA
Molecule: transfer RNA, 92 nt
Filed under: compost metagenome
Description: tRNA-Ser
Rfam family: tRNA
About the family: Transfer RNA (tRNA) molecules are approximately 80 nucleotides in length. Their secondary structure includes four short double-helical elements and three loops (D, anti-codon, and T loops).
Source: RNAcentral